GGAUGUGAGGGCGAUCUGGCUGUGACAUCUGUCACCCCAUUGAUCACCAGGGUUGAUUGGGCUAAUCUGGCUGUCGAGGCGAGUGUCCCCUUCCUCCCUCACCGCUCCAUGUGCGUCCCUCCUGAAGCUGUGCACUUGGUCGAAGAGGAUGGCCUUCCCCAAUAGAGACAGACCAGUCUUCAGUCGAGGGUAUAUGAGUAGCUGCGCUCCCCUGCUAGAACCUCCAAACAAGCUCUCAAGGUAAUAACUGGGUGGAGACACCACUGAGUCAUGACUUUGCUGAGGCAAGAAUGACUCAUGGCUUAAGAACAAUUCUGAGGGCAUCUCUGCAGGUGGCACAUUCAAGUGCUUU
Erinaceus europaeus (western European hedgehog) is the source of this 352-nucleotide unclassified non-coding RNA. Its record names the gene 7SK. It matches the Rfam family "7SK RNA". From Rfam's summary of the family: 7SK was discovered as an abundant small nuclear RNA in the mid-70s but a possible function has only recently been suggested. Two independent studies have found that 7SK RNA binds the CDK9/cyclin T complex (known as elongation factor P-TEFb). P-TEFb activates transcription by phosphorylating the C-terminal domain of RNA polymerase II. Lineage: Eukaryota; Metazoa; Chordata; Mammalia; Eulipotyphla; Erinaceidae. The record is from Ensembl.